AUUGAACGCUGGCGGAAUGCUUUACACAUGCAAGUCGAACGGCAGCACGGAUUUCGGUCUGGUGGCGAGUGGCGAACGGGUGAGUAAUGUAUCGGAACGUGCCCAGUCGUGGGGGAUAACGUAGUGAAAAUUACGCUAAUACCGCAUACGAUCUAUGGAUGAAAGCGGGGGAUCGCAAGACCUCGCGCGAUUGGAGCGGCCGAUAUCAGAUUAGGUAGUUGGUGGGGUAAAGGCCCACCAAGCCAACGAUCUGUAGCUGGUCUGAGAGGACGACCAGCCACACUGGAACUGAGACACGGUCCAGACUCCUACGGGAGGCAGCAGUGGGGAAUUUUGGACAAUGGGCGAAAGCCUGAUCCAGCCAUUCCGCGUGCAGGAUGAAGGCCCUCGGGUUGUAAACUGCUUUUGUACAGAACGAAAAGGUUUCUACUAAUACUAGGAGCUCAUGACGGUACUGUAAGAAUAAGCAUCGGCUAACUACGUGCCAGCCGCCGCAGUAA
This 500-nucleotide ribosomal RNA is filed under the name uncultured bacterium. RNAcentral's name for it is "partial 16S ribosomal RNA". It matches the Rfam family "Bacterial small subunit ribosomal RNA", at positions 30 to 523 of the family's 1533-position model. The record is from RNAcentral.